UUUCAUAGCAAAGAUGCCUUUAAUAAAUGUGAUGACAUGUUUUUUUCAUAAUAUGUAGGACCAAUCCAUCCAUCUUCUGCAAUGGCUUUAGCCCAGUUAUUUAAUAUUUAGUUAAAUUCAUUAUCAUCAUCUCUUUCCAAAGAAUUAGGUCUUUUUCCAUAAAUUAAAUCAUGAUUUUGACAUAUUGCGUCAACCAUUGUUGUUGGAACAUAAUCCAUUGAUAGUUCUAUGGACAACAAAAGUUGGACUAGACAAAAGUUGGACUUCUAAGUUCAACAAGUUGGACCACAACUUAUCCAUAUCGCUUGGGAACUGAGUUUGGCUUUUAGGCCGAAUUUUAGGAAGGGGGUAAGGAACAAAGGGAAAGGUGGCAAAAAAAGAAAAAGGAGCAAUUGGCCACUGGUCAUGUCUUCCCCCUCUCCCCCGCCAAAAAAAAACAAAACAUGAAUAAAAUCAGACAGGCUGUCUGGCACGAGAAAAUUCAAUAAGGCUACCUACUUAAAAGCUCAUUGCAGAUUAUUGGACUAGUGAAUAAAGGCAAUUCCUUUGAAUUUGGGGGGUUCUUUCUCCCCACCUUUUGCUUCGUUCCAAAAGAGGCUUAAAGUCUGCGGUGAAUAGAAACAAGAUAAGUAAAUGAAGAGACGUGGAGGUAGACGAUGAAUAAGACGACAAGAAAACAAUGCAGGAACCAAGGAAGAAGAGGUAGUUGAGACAACCUGUAAAAUACCCUCCUUUAAGGAUUCAAGAGCUGUUUUUUCCCAUCUCUCAAGUAUUCACGACGGAGAACUGAUGAAAAAUCUCUCGCAAUCUAUUCCCGUGCAAUCAAAACUCCGACUACUACGAGGCGGGUCUCGUUCAGUAACCUGCGACUUGUGUUACAGAAUGGAAUAUUCUGAUGGAAGUUCUUAAAUCAGAAUCAAACAAGCAAAUAAUCACAAAAGUGGAAGUGACCUAGCCAAAAUUGUGAAACGCAUUAUGAGGGGAGUCGUGACAGACAAAUUUGAUGCUAGUUAUGUUGGAUGGAUGGGACAGCAUGGCAAAUAUACUGUG
Molecule: long non-coding RNA, 1050 nt
Filed under: Daphnia pulicaria
Lineage: Eukaryota; Metazoa; Arthropoda; Branchiopoda; Diplostraca; Daphniidae
Description: uncharacterized LOC124327141, transcript variant X1
Source: RNAcentral